Molecule: long non-coding RNA, 840 nt
Organism: Helianthus annuus (common sunflower)
Lineage: Eukaryota; Viridiplantae; Streptophyta; Magnoliopsida; Asterales; Asteraceae
Exons: 3
Source: RefSeq, a predicted model, not a curated record
AAUUACAGUUUUGUCCCCACCAAAUAGAAUUUUGGUCCAUGAAGAUGCCAGAUGGUAUGUAUAAUUACAGAUUUGUCCCCACCAACCAGAGAAAGUCACCAAGUUCAUUGUGAAGUACUUCUGACCUUUUCAUGUCCAAUGAAAAUCAUAGUUAUAUGAGUAGUUGAGUACUGGUUUUAAUAAUCUUAUAUUCUUAACAACGAUAUCUUAUUUAAUCAUUUAUAUUUCUUACAGCUCAUUUCUUUAUAUGUGUCGUCUUUUCCCACAUUUUAAAUUAUACUCUCCAAAAAGGUUUUCAAGCUUUGUUUUACCUACCUUUUCUUGAAGAAAUGUUGGGGAGGACCUUUUUUGUAAUACUGUUCUUCUGGGCAGCUCUCACUGUCAUCACGCCUAUUCUCAUUCGGUUGUCUGCAUCUGCAAAUCUCUUGGAUUACAACGGAGAAACGAAGCAUGGUGGCAUCCAAAAUAGUAAAGCACUCGGCUUAUUGUCCAGAAGAGCACUUGGACAGAAAGAAAGACCAUUUUCACCUUCACCAUCACCAUCACCGGAAUUUCAGACUACAUUUAAACUAGAGUAUGAAGGAGAUAAGUCAUAAGUGAUUAGGCAUUUUCUUUGGGCUAAAACAAAGGGGAAUGAUGUGCGGGGAUACAAGUCUUAAUGAUGGUGCCUUAAAGCUCAUGAUUGUUGCUUCACAUUGAAACAACCAUUAUUGAACGAUAAUGAAUCUUAACUGGUGUGUUUUUUUAUAAUACCCCUGGGCCCUGGCUUUAUGAGGGGAUUAGCAUUUAGAGUUUGUACAAAAUAAUAUCAUAAUAUUAUUGUAACUGCAGUUUUAUUUA